RNAcentral lists this ribosomal RNA (460 nucleotides) under uncultured bacterium. RNAcentral's name for it is "partial 16S ribosomal RNA". It matches the Rfam family "Bacterial small subunit ribosomal RNA", at positions 338 to 795 of the family's 1533-position model. The record is from RNAcentral.
CCUACGGGAGGCAGCAGUGAGGAAUAUUGGUCAAUGGACGAGAGUCUGAACCAGCCAAGUAGCGUGAAGGAUGACUGCCCUAUGGGUUGUAAACUUCUUUUAUAUGGGAAUAAAAUGUUCCCCGUGUUGGAUUUUGUAUGUACCAUAUGAAUAAGGAUAGGCUAACUCCGUGCCAGCAGCCGCGGUAAUACGGAGGAUCCGAGCGUUAUCCGGAUUUAGUGGGUUUAUAGGGUGCGUAGGUGGAUGGUUAAGUCUGUUGGGAAAGUUUGCGGCUAAACCGUAAAAUUGCAGUUGAAACUGGCAGUCUUGAGUACAGUAGAGUUGGGCGGAAUUCGUGGUGUAGCGGUGAAAUGCUUAGAUAUCACGAAGAACUCCGAUUGCGAAGGCAGCUCACUGGACUGCAACUGACACUGAGGCUCGAAAGUGUGGGUAUCAAACAGGAUUAGAUACCCCUGUAGUC